This 231-nucleotide ribosomal RNA is filed under the name Salmonella enterica subsp. enterica serovar Cerro. RNAcentral describes it as "partial 23S ribosomal RNA". It matches the Rfam family "Bacterial large subunit ribosomal RNA", at positions 12 to 242 of the family's 2925-position model. Lineage: Bacteria; Pseudomonadati; Pseudomonadota; Gammaproteobacteria; Enterobacterales; Enterobacteriaceae. The record is from RNAcentral.
CUAAGCGUACACGGUGGAUGCCCUGGCAGUCAGAGGCGAUGAAGGGCGUGCUAAUCUGCGAUAAGCGCCGGUAAGGUGAUAUGAACCGUUAUAACCGGCGAUACCCGAAUGGGGAAACCCAGUGUGAUUCGUCACACUAUCAUUAACUGAAUCCAUAGGUUAAUGAGGCGAACCGGGGGAACUGAAACAUCUAAGUACCCCGAGGAAAAGAAAGCAACGGAGAUUCCCCCA